Molecule: ribosomal RNA, 449 nt
Filed under: uncultured bacterium
Lineage: Bacteria
Description: bacterial SSU rRNA
Rfam family: Bacterial small subunit ribosomal RNA
Source: RNAcentral
GACCCAGACUCCUACGGGAGGCAGCAGUGGGGAAUAUUGCACAAUGGGGGGAACCCUGAUGCAGCGACGCCGCGUGGGUGAAGGAGCACCUCGGUGCGUAAAGCCCUAUCGGCAGGGAAGAAACAGACGGUACCUGACUAAGAAGCCCCGACUAACUACGUGCCAGCAGCCGCGGUAAUACGUAGGGGGCAAGCGUUAACCGGAUUCACUGGGUGUAAAGGGAGCGUAGACGGCGACGCAAGUCUGGAGUGAAAGCCCGGGGCCCAACCCCGGGACUGCAUUUGGAUCUGUUAAGCUGGAGUGUCGGAGAGGCAGGCGGAAUUCCUGGUGUAGCGGUGAAAUGCGUAGAUAUCAGGAGGAACACCGGUGGCGAAGGCGGCCUGCUGGACUGCAACUGACGUUGAGGCCCGAAAGCGUGGGGAGCAAACAGGAUUAGAUACCCGCGUAUU